AGCGAACGCUGGCGGCAGGCCUAACACAUGCAAGUCGAACGAACCUUUCGGGGUUAGUGGCGGACGUGUGAGUAACACGUGGGAACGUGCCUUUAGGUUCGGAAUAACUCAGGGAAACUUGUGCUAAUACCGAAUGUGCCCUUCGGGGGAAAGAUUUAUCGCCUUUAGAGCGGCCCGCGUCUGAUUAGCUAGUUGGUUGAGGUAAUGGCUCACCAAGGCGACGAUCAGUAGCUGGUCUGAGAGGAUGAUCAGCCACAUUGGGACUGAGACACGACCCAAACUCCUACGGGAGGCAGCAGUGGGGAAUCUUGCGCAAUGGGCGAAAGCCUGACGCAGCCAUGCCGCGUGAAUGAUGAAGGUCUUAGGAUUGUAAAAUUCUUUCACCGGGGACGAUAAUGACGGUACCCGGAGAAGAAGCCCCGGCUAACUUCGUG
RNAcentral lists this ribosomal RNA (434 nucleotides) under uncultured bacterium. RNAcentral's name for it is "partial 16S ribosomal RNA". It matches the Rfam family "Bacterial small subunit ribosomal RNA", at positions 29 to 507 of the family's 1533-position model. The record is from RNAcentral.